RNAcentral lists this ribosomal RNA (515 nucleotides) under uncultured eubacterium Hbr-K12. RNAcentral describes it as "bacterial SSU rRNA". It matches the Rfam family "Bacterial small subunit ribosomal RNA", at positions 373 to 896 of the family's 1533-position model. The record is from RNAcentral.
GGGCGGAAGCCUGACGCAGCGACGCCGCGUGGGGGAUGACGGCCNUCGGGUUGUAAACCUCUUUCGCCGCCGACGAAGCCUUCGGGUGACGGUAGGCGGAUAAGAAGCACCGGCCAACUACGUGCCAGCAGCCGCGGCAACACGUAGGGUGCGAGCGUUGUCCGGAAUUAUUGGGCGUAAAGAGCUCGUAGGCGGUGUGUCGCGUCGGCCGUGAAAACUUGGGGCUCAACUCUGAGCGCGCGGUCGAUACGGGCAUCACUUGAGUUCGGCAGGGGAGACUGGAAUUCCUGGUGUAGCGGUGAAAUGCGCAGAUAUCAGGAGGAACACCGGUGGCGAAGGCGGGUCUCUGGGCCGAUACUGACGCUGAGGAGCGAAAGCUGGGGGAGCGAACAGGAUUAGAUACCCUGGUAGUCCACGCCGUCAACGUUGGGCGCUAGGUGUGGGGACCAUUCCACGGUUUCUGUGCCGCAGCUAACGCAUUAAGCGCCCCGCCUGGGGAGUACGGCCGCAAGCUA